AUGUGUUGUCCAUGCCCUACAUGUGGGAAUACGAAGUCUUACUCUGACCGGAAAAUCCUUCACACCCACCUGCUUUACAAGGGUUUCAUGCCACACUAUAAUGUUUGGACGAGGCACAGAGAAAUAGGGGUUAUGAUGGAAGACGGCGAAGAAGAAGAGGACGAUGACAACUAUGUGCCCCCUGAAUACGGUGAUGCUGCAACGGGGGAAGCUGCUGAAGAUCAAGAGGAACCAGUGCCCGAUGAUGAUGAUCUCCGCCGGGUCAUUGUCGAUGCAAGGACGCAAUGCGAAAGUCAAAAGGAGAAGCUGAAGUUCGAUCGCAUGUUAGAGGAUCACAAAAAAGGGUUGUACCCCAAUUGCGAAGAUGUCAACACAAAGCUCGGUACCGUACUGGAAUUGCUGCAGUGGAAGGCAGAGAAUGCUGUGCCUGACAAAGGAUUUGAGAAGCUAUUGAAAAUAUUGAAGAAGAAGCUUCCAAAGGAUAACGAAUUGCCCGACAGUACAUACGCAGCAAAGAAGGUCGUAUGCCCUCUAGGAUUGGAGGUGCAGAAGAUACAUGCAUGCCCUAAUGACUGCAUCCUCUACCGCGGUGCGUACAAGGAUCUGAACGCAUGCCCGGUAUGCGGUGCAUUGCGGUAUAAGAUCAGACGAGAUGACCCUGGUGAUGUUGACGGCGAGCCCCCAGGAAGAGGGUUCCUGCGAAGGUGA
This 708-nucleotide ribosomal RNA is filed under the name Triticum aestivum (bread wheat). RNAcentral's name for it is "partial small subunit ribosomal RNA". The record is from RNAcentral. Lineage: Eukaryota; Viridiplantae; Streptophyta; Magnoliopsida; Poales; Poaceae.